This 78-nucleotide microRNA precursor is filed under the name Schistosoma curassoni. RNAcentral describes it as "mir-3492 microRNA precursor family". It matches the Rfam family "mir-3492 microRNA precursor family". Lineage: Eukaryota; Metazoa; Platyhelminthes; Trematoda; Strigeidida; Schistosomatidae. The record is from Rfam by way of RNAcentral.
AACUUUCUGAAUCCGUAUAGAGAUUUCGUCAGACACCAACCCGUUGAAGCUGAUGAGACUUCCAAGAUAAGUGAAGUU